ACCGGACCAUAGGUGGACGUUUAAGUCUUUGAAGCGUAGGGUUUAGGUUAUGAUUUAUCGAUAGCGCUCUCAUCUCCCUCUCCCCUUCCCAAACAUUCGAAUCAUUUUCCCAAAUCUCCCUAGGGUUAGGGUUUUCUCUGUUUCUUUCGCGUGAUUUUCGUUUGCAGGUACUCGAGGAGACGCAAACAAUCCACUAUGGCGAAGUACCGAAGCCGGAGUAGAAGUUACAGCCCUCGUCGGCGUAGCCGAACCCCACCACGAGGGCGGAAGCGGUACGACGACGACCCUAGAGACCGGUACCGCGAAAGCAGGUCUCAUAGGGACCGUCGCUCUCCUGCUCCUUCUGGGUUACUCGUGCGUAAUCUCCCCCUUGAUGCUAGGCCGGAAGAUCUUAGGAUCCCGUUCGAGCGUUUUGGUCCUGUUAAGGAUGUGUAUCUUCCGAAAAACUACUACACUGGGGAGCCCCGAGGGUUUGGGUUUGUGAAGUUUCGGUUUGCAGAAGAUGCAGCUGAAGCAAAACAACAACUGAAUCAUACAGUUAUAGGUGGACGGGAGAUACGAAUUGUGUUUGCUGAGGAGAACAGGAAAACUCCACAAGAAAUGCGUGUGACUUCACGCUCAAGUGGCAGAAGCAGCAGAAGGCGUUCUCCAGCAAGGUCUCCGCGACGGCGAUAUCAUUCUUACUCACGCUCACCUUCACCUGCCAGGCAUGACUCAAGGUUGGAUCUUAUCUGUCAUACUUAUUCUGCUACUAGCAAGACUAAAAUCAUUAUUGUCCUGCUGUUUCCGUUACUCCUUACUUCUAUACCGUGUUUUGAAAUAUUGGUUGGUCCUAUUAUGAUGAUAAGUAAACUGUGCAUGCCUUCUUCUAACUAUAUAAUUUUGUUCUUUAACAUGUCAAAGCAUUCUUUUUGGAUGAGAAACAUUGCAUAAUAUUUUGAAUUUUGGCACUUGUCUUAUAGAGUAUUCAAACCUCCAAUUGAAGUACAUGUUCAUUGUUUUGAUUUUCAGUCUAACCAAAAUGAUUUUGUCUGCCAUUGGGUGAAAAUCAAUUUUAUAGAAAUAUUUCAAUAAACUCAGCUUACUUCGAUUUACUCAACCUGAACCUCAUGAGUUCUGUUUUGUUCAAAAAACUUCUUGAAGUUAUCAAUGGUGUGUCAGUUUUAAAAAGCACGAUCCAUUUCUAAUGGAUGAAUUAUCCUUGUUCCUAUGUCAUGCGGUGAUGUGUUUAGUCAGUAAAUCUAAGUGGCGCUUUGCUGUGGUUUCAAUUGCUGACUAAAUAUUAGGGUCAUAGUCCAAUAAUAAUAGUGGCACUUUUAAUCUUCAUUUCCUCAUCAGGUUUAUAAUAUCAGCCCAAUAUAUUAAAUCUAAGCAACACUUUCAUUUUUUUGAUGUUCUCCAUGCUUUAAUGUAGAAUUUUAUUUCAUUUGCUUUAAUGUUAUCAUGGUUAACCAAAAAGAUUUAAAUUUAAUAUUUGAUUUGAUGCACGUGAAAUAUUCUACUCCCUACAUAGUACGGAGUUGCAUUGCAGGAGAUCGUGUACAAUCUACUUAAUUCCUUGUUUAUGCAGAUAUUAAAGUGUAAAGGGAGACUUUAAAGACUUGUUGAUUAAUAAAGUUUAACAAGAAAAGCGAUCAUAAAGUGAUGGGCACUUGCUUACUUUACCUAUCGAACCCUCUCCAUGAUUAAGAAAGAUUAGAGCUUAUAGUUGGCCAAAGAAAGAAAUCAUCUUCAAAGGAGAAAAAGCCAAAGUUUUUCUGGUUGUGGUAUGGUGACAUUGUCCAAGAAAAGAUAAUGUGAUUUUUAGAAAGUUGGGGCAAA
RNA transcript from Cucurbita moschata (crookneck pumpkin), 1821 nucleotides. It is a transcript of the gene named serine/arginine-rich SC35-like splicing factor SCL28, with no coding region annotated. The transcript has 6 exons. The record is from RefSeq and is a predicted model, not a curated record. Lineage: Eukaryota; Viridiplantae; Streptophyta; Magnoliopsida; Cucurbitales; Cucurbitaceae.